AGAAACAGGCUGUCUUUGAAUUUUACUUUUUUUUUUAAUUAUUAUUUUUUAUUUUUUAUUUUUUUUAAGACCUACAAUCAUUUUCACGUUAGUAUAUUUUGUCUGGAAGAUAUUCAACAAGGCUUCUUAAGCUUACUUCUAUUAUCCCUUCAGCUAAUAUAGCAGGUGUCUUCUCAUCAAGUAAAGAAACCACCAAAUUCUUCCAAGAAGUUUGACUGACAUUGUGGAUAAUUGAGGAGGACAAUCAUGCCUGCUUGCUCUCUUGAAACAGAAUACCAGUCUGUCAUUACUCAUGUUCAUGAUUGAAUAAGUUUCAGAAGCUGUUUUGAGACCCAGACUUACAUGGCUGCCCACCUGGGACUAUGCUGUGUUGUGCAGGAACACAAUACACUGUUGUCUUCAAUGAAUUGAAAGAAAUAAUGCUGUUGCUAUAAACAAAAACCAUAGAAAAUGUGAAGAAGCAUGGAUGUGAGGACCUAGCACAGUUUUAAACUGCUCUAACAGAACUGUUGUUAUGCUGUUGAUAUUGGUACUGGUUGGGACUUCCAACCUGGCCAGCAGGAAGGAAACACAUAUGCUCAGUCUCAUGAAUUUUCAUGUAGUGUGUUCACUACUGCAGGAAUCACCAGUGCACUGUUGGUAUCAAGAAGAAGAGA
This is a long non-coding RNA of Tympanuchus pallidicinctus (lesser prairie-chicken), 656 nucleotides long. RefSeq lists it as uncharacterized. The transcript is spliced from 3 exons. Lineage: Eukaryota; Metazoa; Chordata; Aves; Galliformes; Phasianidae. The record is from RefSeq and is a predicted model, not a curated record.